Molecule: long non-coding RNA, 133 nt
Organism: Haliotis rubra (blacklip abalone)
Lineage: Eukaryota; Metazoa; Mollusca; Gastropoda; Lepetellida; Haliotidae
Exons: 3
Source: RefSeq, a predicted model, not a curated record
AAAAUGACCCCAUGAAACUUCACUAGCCAGUCGGGCCAGUGACUGGAUUUUUACUGGCCCGGCUGGAUUUUUUCUAGCCAUGAGCUAGCGGGCCAGUGGCUAUUUCGCACACUGCAUCCAACUUGCAGUGCAG